Hippopotamus amphibius kiboko is the source of this 74-nucleotide small nucleolar RNA. RefSeq annotates it as small nucleolar RNA SNORD28. Lineage: Eukaryota; Metazoa; Chordata; Mammalia; Artiodactyla; Hippopotamidae. The transcript has a single exon. The record is from RefSeq and is a predicted model, not a curated record.
GUGAGAUAAUUUGAUUGAUAUGUUGAUCAUAUGUGAGGUACCAUAAUUAAUAGCAUGUUAGAAUUCUAAAGACA